This 253-nucleotide ribosomal RNA is filed under the name uncultured bacterium. Its description in RNAcentral is "partial 16S ribosomal RNA". It matches the Rfam family "Bacterial small subunit ribosomal RNA", at positions 524 to 776 of the family's 1533-position model. The record is from RNAcentral.
UACGAGGGGGGCAAGCGUUGUUCGGAAUUAUUGGGCGUAAAGAGCGUGUAGGCGGCCAUGCAGGUCCGUUGUGAAAACUCGAGGCUCAACCUCGAGACGCCGAUGGAAACCGCAUGGCUAGAGUCCGGAAGAGGAGAGUGGAAUUCCUGGUGUAGCGGUGAAAUGCGCAGAUAUCAGGAAGAACACCCGUGGCUAAGGCGGCUCUCUAGUACGGUACUGACGCUGAGACGCGAAAGCGUGGGGAGCAAACAGG